Molecule: unclassified non-coding RNA, 179 nt
Filed under: uncultured fungus
Lineage: Eukaryota; Fungi
Description: sequence contains ITS1, 5.8S rRNA gene
Source: RNAcentral
AAGAGUUCUGUACCUCAUAGGUACUUACUCCAACCAAUUGUGUACCUUUUAGAUGUUGCCUCGACGAAACGUAUGGGCACCUAGUGUACCCAUCCUUCGGCUCGUAGCGGAAGUGUUUUCGUCAGAGGAUUUUUCAAACCAUUUUUAAUUGUGAUCUGAGUUAUAAACAAAUAAAAACA